GACGAACGCUGGCGGCGUGCUUAACACAUGCAAGUCGAACGGAAAGGCCUGCUUUCCCUUGUGGAUUGCGGGUACUCGAGUGGCGAACGGGUGAGUAACACGUGAGUGAUCUGCCCCCAACUUGGGUAUAAGCCUGGGAAACUGGGUCUAAUUCCCGAUAGGACUGCAGGGUGGUGCCUGUGGUGGAAAACGAUUUUCUAGUGGUUGGGGAUGAGCUCGCGGCCUAUCAGCUUGUGGGUGGGGUAAUGGCCUACCAAGGCGGGGACGGGUAGCCGGCCUGAGAGGGUGGACGGGCACAUUGGGACUGGGAUACGGCCCAGACUCGUACGGGAGGCAGCAGUGGGGAAUAUUGGACGAUGGGCGGAAGCCUGAUGCAGCGACGCCGCGUGGGGGAUGACGGCCUUCGGGUUGUAAACUCCUUUCGACCGCGAGGAAGCCACCUGGUUGGAAGGGUGGUGACGGUAGUGGUAGAAGAAGCACCGGCUAACUACGUG
RNAcentral lists this ribosomal RNA (494 nucleotides) under uncultured bacterium. RNAcentral describes it as "partial 16S ribosomal RNA". It matches the Rfam family "Bacterial small subunit ribosomal RNA", at positions 28 to 507 of the family's 1533-position model. The record is from RNAcentral.